AGAUCAUUCUUGCAAAGUAUGGCAAAGGCUUGGCAAAGUAGACUAUAAGCUUUUGGAAAACAGGGACUAUGUCUUCUUCAACAAUGUGUACACAACAAGUAGCAGGUUGUUUGGCAUAUGGCAGAUGCUCGAUACUUUGUUCUGGCAGUGGCAUGGGAGAUGGAUCCAAAGAGAUUAAAACUGGAGUGAAGGAGUCCAGUAAUGAUGUGAAGAGAUGAGGGUCUGAACUAGGACAGAAGUCAGUCACAGGGAUGGAUUUGAGAAGUUUUGGAGGGUUACACAUGCAGUACAUGCCACACUACUACCCUUCCUGCUCUUGUGCGCACACCUACCCUGAUGAUGCAGCCUUCACUGGAUAUCAAACCAUUUAUGUCUUUUCCAGUGGACAGUAGUUCUGCUGUUGGGCUCUUUCCAAAUUUUAACACAUAAACUUCUGACCGUCCUACCUGGGCUUGCCUCUGUUCAUGCUGUCCAGGGAAGCAGAAACCAGAAUAAAGGGGAGAACAAGAUGGAUCCUGUGCAAAAAGCGGUUAUUAACCAUACAUUUGGAGUAUCCAUUCCCCCAAAGAAGAAACAAGUUAUUUCUUGUAAUGUCUGUCAGCUUCGCUUUAACUCAGAUGGGAAGGAAGGAGCCGCAAGCCAAGGAAUGUGGGCAACCUCUAGAAGCUGGAAAAGACAAAGAAAUGGAUUUUCCCUUAAAGCCUCCAGAAGAAAUGCAGCCCUGCUGACACCUCGAUGUUAGCCCAGUGAGAUCCAUACCAGACUUCUGACCUCCAGAACUAGCCAGGCCGAGGCCCACUACAAAGGAAGUAAACAUGCCAAGAAGGUCAAAGCACUAGAGGCAACGAAAAAUAAACCCAAAAUGGUUCCUUCCAAGGACAGCGCAAAGGCUAAUCCCAGCUGCUCCAUCACUCCAAUCACAGGCAACAACUCUGACAAAUCAGAAGAUAAAGGGAAGUUAAAAGCCAGCAGUUCCAGUCAGCCAUCAAGCUCUGAAAGUGGCUCAUUUCUCCUCAAAUCUGGCACAACACCCCUGCCACCUGGAGCAGCCACUUCUCCCUCCAAGAGCACAAAUGGAGCUCCCGGUACUGUUGUUGAAUCAGAAGAAGAAAAAGCCAAAAAAUUACUUUAUUGUUCACUAUGCAAAGUGGCUGUGAACUCCCUGUCACAGCUAGAGGCACACAACACAGGAUCUAAACACAAGACCAUGGUUGAAGCUCGUAAUGGGGCUGGUCCAAUUAAAUCCUAUCCUAGACCUGGAUCAAGAUUAAAGAUGCAGAAUGGCAGUAAGGGGUCAGGACUACAGAACAAGACAUUUCAUUGUGAAAUCUGUGAUGUUCAUGUUAAUUCAGAAAUUCAACUCAAACAGCCGAAGGCAUAAAGAUCGAGUUGCAGGGAAACCACUGAAGCCAAAAUACAGCCCUUACAACAAACUCCAGCGGAGCCCGAGUAUUCUAGCAGCAAAACUUGCAUUCCAGAAAGAUAUGAUGAAGCCUUUGGCCCCAGCCUUCCUGUCCUCACCUCUCGCAGCGGCGGCAGCCGUGUCCUCAGCGCUGUCACUCCCACCCCGGCCCUCUGCCUCGCUCUUCCAGGCUCCAGCCAUUCCUCCAGCUCUUCUGAGGCCUGGGCAUGGGCCCAUCCGUGCCACUCCUGCCUCCAUCCUCUUUGCUCCGUACUAACGUCUGCAAACCCCAAGACGUUUGAGGUCAUGCUCCCAUGCCCCCCUUUCUAAGCCGAUAUCAACAAGACUGGAAUGUUUGUGAUAUCAGGGGCAAGAGUUAUCAUAAAACAACAAAAUAGAGUGGACUCUUUUAGAGCAUCUAUAUCUGCAACCUGUAAAUGGUAAAAUGUCUGUGUAUUUUUUUAAAUGUACCUUUUCAAUAAAAGUACAAAAAAUAAAA
Molecule: small RNA, 1901 nt
Filed under: Pan troglodytes (chimpanzee)
Lineage: Eukaryota; Metazoa; Chordata; Mammalia; Primates; Hominidae
Description: processed transcript
Source: RNAcentral